UAGAGCACUGAAUGGAUGAGGGCCCUUCACCGGGUACCAAGUUCAAUCAAACUCCGAAUGCCGCAACACAAUGCGCGGGAGUCAGACUACGGCUGAUAAGGGCCGUGGUCGAGAGGGAAAGAGCCCAGACCGUCGGCUAAGGUCCCCAAGAUACGCCAAGUGGGAAAGGAAGUUCGAUUGCAAAGACAGCCAGGAGGUUGGCUCAGAAGCAGCCACUCCUUCAAAGAGUGCGUAAUAGCUCACUGGUCGAGUAGUCGUGCGCCGAUAAUGUAACGGGGCUAAGCACGCCACCGAAGCCGCGGGACGCAGACUUGUUCUGCGUCGGUAGGAGAGCAUUGCGUAUGCGGACGAAGCGGGACCCGCGAGGGCCCGUGGACGCGGCGCAAGAGAGAAUGCAGGCAUGAGUAACGAAAAGACGGGUGGGAUCCCCGUCCGCCUGAAGCCCGAGGUUUCCAGGGUAAAGGCAAUCUGCCCGAGGGUCAGUCGGCCCCUAAGGCGAGGGCGAGAGCCGUAGCCGAUGGGAAGCGGGUCAACAUUCCCGCACCUCCCGGAGAUUCGACGGGACGACGCAUAGGGCGAAGCGCAGCCGGGCGACGGUAGUCCCGGCCGAAACGGCGAGCUUUUGAGGGUCCCAGGCAAAUCCGGGUCCCUGAGGCGAGCCGCGAGCGAGGCCCCCCACGGGGGGAGGAAGUGCGCCGAGUCGUCGUGCCGAGAAAUAGUCCCUAAGGUUCGUCUCCGGGGGACCGUACCGCAAACCGACACAGGUGGGCGAGCUGAGAAUGCGCAGGCGCUCGGAAGAAUCCGCGUUAAGGAACUCGGCAAAAUGCAUACGUAACUUCGGGAUAAGUAUGGCCCUUCGGGGCUGCAGAGAAACGGCCCAUGCGACUGUUUACCAAAAACACAGGUCCAUGCGAACCGGCAACGGGAAGUAUAUGGACUGACACCUGCCCGGUGCUGGAAGGUCAAGGGGAGCCGUCAGGCAACGAAGCGGCGAACCCAAGCCCCAGUAAACGGCGGCCGUAACUAUAACGGUCCUAAGGUAGCGAAAUUCCUUGUCGGGUAAGUUCCGACCCGCACGAAUGGUGCAACGACAUGGGCGCUGUCUCAACGUGGAAUCCGGUGAAAUUGAAGUCAGGUGAAGAUGCCUGUACCCGUGGUCAGACGGAAAGACCCCGUGAACCUUUACUUCACCCUGGCAUUGGGAGCUGGGUCAGGGAUGUGUAGGAUAGGUGGGAGGCACCGACGCGUGGGCGUCAGCCUGCGCCGAGCCGCCUGUGAAAUACCACCCUUGCCUGUCCAUCUCUCUAACGCGGGCCGUGAGCCGGCCCGCGCACAGUGCCGGGCGGGAAGUUUGACUGGGGCGGUCGCCUCCCAAAGGGUAACGGAGGCGCGCGAAGGUCGCCUUAGGAUGGUUGGGAAUCAUCCGGCAAGCGCAAAGGCACAAGGCGGCUUGACUGCGAGGCCGACAAGCCGAGCAGGUACGAAAGUAGGUCUUAGUGAUCUGGCGGUAGCGAGUGGAAGCGCCGUCACUUAACGGAUAAAAGGUACUCCGGGGAUAACAGGCUGAUCUUGCCCAAGAGUUCAUAUCGACGGCAAGGUUUGGCACCUCGAUGUCGGCUCAUCGCAUCCUGGGGCUGGAGCAGGUCCCAAGGGUUUGGCUGUUCGCCAAUUAAAGCGGUACGUGAGCUGGGUUCAGAACGUCGUGAGACAGUUCGGUCCCUAUCUGCCAUGGGCGCAGGAUGGGUGAGGGGAUCUGCUUCCAGUACGAGAGGACCGAAGUGGACGGACCUCUGGUGUACCGGUUGUCGCGCCAGCGGCAGGCGCCGGGUAGCCACGUCCGGACGGGAUAACCGCUGAAAGCAUCUAAGCGGGAAGCCCACCCCAAGAUGACCCAUCCCAUCCGCACAAGCGGACACAAGGAAACAGGCAGACUACCUGUUCGAUAGGCCGGGGGUGU
RNAcentral lists this ribosomal RNA (1957 nucleotides) under uncultured bacterium BD_contig00847. Its description in RNAcentral is "bacterial LSU rRNA". It matches the Rfam family "Bacterial large subunit ribosomal RNA", at positions 903 to 2870 of the family's 2925-position model. The record is from RNAcentral.